This 686-nucleotide long non-coding RNA is filed under the name Brassica napus (rape). Its description in RNAcentral is "long non-coding RNA (BNAP_LNC016007)". The record is from RNAcentral. Lineage: Eukaryota; Viridiplantae; Streptophyta; Magnoliopsida; Brassicales; Brassicaceae.
GGUGAUUGAGGAGAAGCUGAUGAAUCCAUUCUGCCUUUCCAAGAAGUUGAUGAUGCCAUGAAGAUGGUGCAUUGGCCGAGUUAGGAAACUCACAAAAACACAAGGGAAGUUCCCUUAGACUUUUAAACUCUUUCUUCAAAUCUUCUUCAUUCAUCUUAUUCAUUGCUUGUGCGUGACAAGAUACUUAAAAUGAUUAUGAUUGAAUUGUGAGAUUGUGUGCAUCAAGUGUGAUGCAGGAUAUUCAUUUUCUUGGUUUUGAUAGGUACUGAUGCACCUUUGGGAUAAUGUAUCAGGUACCAUUGCUUGAUGCCUCAUUAAACAGUUCCGGGUCAUCUCUUAGCUUCUCUAAAGAGGCUGUGAAGUCUGUUGAGAGGGGGAGAUUCCAAACCUGGUCGAUGAAGAAGGCAAGCCGUGUGUGAAGUGAUUGAUCAGCCUCACUGGUGUUUUGAAGAUGAUCUGGUCGUGUCCUAGCUUCUCUAAGAUGGCUGUGAAGUCAGUUGAGAGGGGGAGACUUCAAACCGGUUCCAUGAAGAGGUGAAGCUGAAGUGUCAAGUGUAGGCAAAGCUGUGAAGAGUUGCUGCACCUAUUAGGCCGUGAUCCAGAGCUUCUUGUGUCUAACCACAUUGGUUCUAAGGCACAAGAGCUCACUGGCCAAUCCCUAGGCUUUGGAGAGCUCUACUCUUUUU